GGUGGGCGUUCUGGUUCGUUUUCGAGUUUGUUUGGGAUUUCGUGUUCGGUUCAGAUCUUUGAGGAUUCAGUUCAGAUUUGGAUAACCAAUUUAAAUUGGUUUGUUUUAAAUAUUUGGAUAGAGAAUUAAUAAUUAUUUAAGUAUUUUUGGAGUUUUGAGUAUAUUUUAACUAUUUUAGAUAUUUAUGUUUUAUUAUUUGUAUAUAUUUUCAUGUAUUUAAACGAACGUAAAAGUAUCAUAUAUAUAUUCUGGAUGUUUUUAUAUAUAUUAAAUCUAAAAAUAAUUAAUAUAUAUAACUAUAUAAAUCUAUUUUGGAUAUCCAAAAUACUUCGGUUCGGAUUGGAUCAGGUUUCAGUUCUUCAAAUACCAAAAUUUUGAAUAAUUCGGAUAUUUAAUCAAUUUCGCUUCGGAUUUGCUACUACUUAUUUGGAUUGGGAUCGGUUCGAUUCUUCGAAUUCGAGUUUUUUGCCUAACCCUAAAUAGUGACAUAAAAAAUAAAUAGCAUCAUAUUUUUUUUUUAAAACAUCCGCGCGGACGCGUGGAUCAAAAUCUAGUUCUGCUAUUAUAAGAGAAUUCUUAUUUAAAAUUUUUUUUUUUUGUAAACUGGCUUGUUCUUAUUUAAAAUUUUGAUUAAAACAUAAUCAAGAAGACGUCAAGCAAAAGAUAACAAAAACAGUUGUUCUUUCCCACUCAUUGUCAC
This 700-nucleotide long non-coding RNA is filed under the name Brassica napus (rape). Its description in RNAcentral is "long non-coding RNA (BNAP_LNC017701)". Lineage: Eukaryota; Viridiplantae; Streptophyta; Magnoliopsida; Brassicales; Brassicaceae. The record is from RNAcentral.